RNAcentral lists this ribosomal RNA (427 nucleotides) under actinobacterium SCGC AAA028-I10. RNAcentral's name for it is "bacterial SSU rRNA". It matches the Rfam family "Bacterial small subunit ribosomal RNA", at positions 348 to 787 of the family's 1533-position model. Lineage: Bacteria; Bacillati; Actinomycetota; Actinomycetes. The record is from RNAcentral.
GCACCAGUGGGGAAUAUUGGGCAAUGGAGGAAACUCUGACCCAGCGACGCCGCGUGCGGGAUGAAGGCCUUCGGGUUGUAAACCGCUUUCAGUAGGGAAGAAGCGAAAGUGACGGUACCUACAGAAGAAGCACCGGCUAACUAUGUGCCAGCAGCCGCGGUAAUACAUAGGGUGCAAGCGUUGUCCGGAAUUAUUGGGCGUAAAGAGCUCGUAGGUGGUUCGUUACGUCGGAUGUGAAAAUCUGGGGCUCAACCCCAGACCUGCAUCCGAUACGGGCGAGCUAGAGUUUGGUAGGGGAGACUGGAAUUCCUGGUGUAGCGGUGGAAUGCGCAGAUAUCAGGAGGAACACCAAUGGCGAAGGCAGGUCUCUGGGCCAAUACUGACACUGAGGAGCGAAAGCGUGGGGAGCGAACAGGAUUAGAUACCC